AAAUGAAAUAUUAAUAAAUAAAUAUAUGUAUAAGAAAAAUAGGCAAAGCAACCGCCAACAUUUAUUCAUGAUAGUUGGAAAGCCAAGACAUUUUGUGUUCUGAGCUCCUUGGGAUUUCCUAAGUGGCAAAUACCUAUUAACAGACAGAAAAUCGAUAAGAACUUGAGCUGGCGGCCAAUGGGAGUUCGAAUGUGUUCGAAUAUUUUUAUAAAUAGGCAACGGCGAUGCUAACUGUAAUUGUAUCCAUAUGCGUUUGCGGCUUAAGUGCCCUGAAAACGGGCAGAACUUCAAAGUUAAGAAAACCGCAAAUAAAUAGAAAAAUAAGAAAAUAAAAUCAGAAGCUGAAUAGGAAAAAUAAGAAAAAAAAUUGUCAAUAACAAAGGCCUGCAAACAUGUGAGAAAUUUAGAUGAAUGCUGAGCGUCUCAUGCAUAUGAGGAGAUGCUCCAAGCGACAGAGAUAGACAGCACAGAUACAGAUGCAAAUGCAAAUCGAGAGACACAGAUACAGAUGCAGUUGCAGAUACAGAUAGAGAUAGAGAUAGAGAUACAAAUACAGUUGCAAUUGCAUUAGAUUGAGUUUAUGACGACGAUUAAGCGCCAGAGCCAGCAGACCAUAGCGAUCGAGGCAGCAGCAGCAGCAGCAGCAGCAGCGGCAGCAGAGAGAGGGAGAGAGAGCGAAAGAGAUAGAGGGAGAGCGAGCAUCGAUUGAAUUACAAACUAAAUCAAUGCAUUCGCAUUAGAAGCCUUAAAAUGCGAGAUUUCUCUCAGAUUCGCGCGUAUUUAUCGCGGCUGUAAUCGCAAGCUGAAACUCAUUUCAUUAUCAGCUGCACAUUGAGACGCAACGAGCACGGCGCCAGCUUAAACGAGAAAUCAAAGAAUGUAGAAUAUAUACUAUAUAUACACAUAUAUGUUUAGUGAAUCUGUUGUCAAGUGUAUCCUGUGUUGCAGUUUCGGUUUGUGACCGACACUAACGGGUAGUUGAGGCAUCUCGUAUUCGCUGUUUUAUACUCGUUUUUGCGAUCACAAAUUCUGAAAUUGCAACGAAACGCAACGAAAAUGAAAAGUGCAUUCCCAAGGAGAGGGCGCAGGGCGUUCAGGGCGAGGGCAUCAACAAGAGUUGUGUGCUCCAGUGCGAAAAGUGUGAGAUCUAUUUGUACUAUGAUUGUUCGAAAUCAGCUAGCCCUAUUAAAGGGGAGUGUAAGAACGUUCAAUAUAUAUGUAUGUAUAGAGCGUCGAAGAUGUCAAACUGUCUGAGGCAUUGAAGAAGUUACUCUCUCUGCUGCUGCUAUUAGAAUCAAAUGCAAUAUAUAGAUAUUACAUUUAUAAAGAUGUGUCAUCCUUGACAUUUACUUAGCACAAUUGUGAAAUCUUCUUAUGGGCAUAUCGAACUUUUAAAUUUAGAAAAUAAACUUUUAAAUUUAGAAAAAUAAACCUCAGUUUCUACUUAAAAUAUUCGACAUAGAAUUAUUGCACAGAGGAAUAUGUCGAUAUUGCGAAUAGAUGUUUUUGUAUAAGUAAUAGUAUAUAAACUAUAUGUUCGGAAUAGAAUAUAAUAGAAUAGAUAUAGGAUAUGUGAAUUCUUUUGCCAACUUUAUCCCUCUCUUUCAGUCCUCUUGGCUGUUUAGCUUACUCUCUAUUUCUCUUUUACCCUUUUUCUUCCUCUCUGUAUUCGUCUCUUUCCUUCAGUUCAUGUAAUUAACUACUUCAAUAGAUCUCGCCAAAUUUCUACUAAAAUCAUUUGCUGGGUAUCUUCCAGUAGAACUACCUCAACGUCUACAUUAUUUGUUGCUUACGCUUUGUUUUCCGUUUGCCGUUUUCCGUUUCCAUGCAAUGUGAUUUGCUUCACCAAAUUACCAAAUAUGACAAAUCCAAGCCACACUCCUAUAUUUCAUGUUAAAUGUUCGGCACGAGGCUCGUCUCUUUUUCCUUUUUUUGACAACAGCUGAAUUGCGCAUUUUGACAACUGUUUGUUAUGCCCUAUUUAUAUGGGCAUUUACAAAGUGGGUGGAUAUAUUCGAAUAGUACAAUAAUAUAAUAACAAUCGUACUAUAGUAGCACAUACAUAUAUAUAAUAUAUCAAAUACUAAACGAUUCGCAGAUUGAUUAUCUGAUCUUAAAUAGUUUUCUAAUAUAUAUUACUAGAUUCGAGUUAUAUGACCUAUCGAUAAAUUAAUGUAAAUGCUAUAAAUAUAUGAGCUAUAAGUAUAUAUAGUCUAUAUAAAGUAAUUUUCUUCAUUUUUAUUACGAUGUGUUAUUUACAGGGUAUAUUUCAUGCAACUAGCUCUAGCAGAUUUUUUAUGUUUAUUGAUUUUUGUUGCUAUUUUUCGACUUUUACACGAGACACAAGUUUGCAUGUAAAAAGCUGCUUAGUAAAAGUACCAAAUAUUAUUUGUAGCACACGCACGCACACAUCAUACAUACAUACAUAUAUAUGGUCAUAUAUAUAUAUAAACAUAUCAGUAUUAUUAUGCGUAAUAAAUAUAUUUUUAUGGCUCAGCAAUUCCACAAACUGAGAUGAGUUCUCUUAGUGACAUAGUUGCUGAGGCAACAGAUUGGAAAGGGUCGAGUUGUGGAGUCCCAGGAUAGGUAUGAGUCGAACGAUAUAAGUUUGCCCUUGUCCCAUAAGAAUCAUAUCUCAUAUAUGUAUUGAUCAAAACAAUCAAAAAUUCAAUGGCAGUCUAUCGACAAUUUAUUUCCUUAUCCUCAUUUCCCCUAUUUGUAACCAUAAUUAAAUUUGCAGCUUAUGUAAAUAUGUAUAAUUAAAUACUGCUAGAUUAAUAAUUAUAGCAGGGAGAGAGAGAGAGAGAGAGAGAGAGAGAGGCUGUGAAAGGAAGGAAGUGGAAGUGAAUAGACGAUGUUGGCAUCAUAAUGAGCUAUAACUAAGUCAAAUAAUGCUGCGGGCAAUGCGUGAGCCUCAUCAAGCCGAGGCUGAUGACUUACGGAGGUGCGAUAAGGCUUACGCAACACUCACGGCUGCGCAGGGGUCAUGACCUCUGCUAUUAGAUGCUCGCAAGCAGAAAAGUGCUGUAAAAUUCAUUUAGCAACUGUUGUACAUGCCAAAGUGUGCUGUCUCGCUCUCUCUCUAUCUCUCUCUCUCUCUCUUUCGCACUAUAUCUCUCUUCCUUCUUCCUUCCGUUCUUUAAUUAAGUGUAAAAUUGUGCAGCUGAGAGGCGAAUUUGGCAAAUGAUUUAAUAUUGAGCGUGGUGGGCGUGGGGGGAAGGGCUUUCUUUGUUUUUGUCAUUGCAAAUUGCUCAACAAUUGACAAAUGAAUUGCAAAUCGUUGAAAUUUCAAUUUUGGCAAGCUGACAGCAUUCGAAAUGCAGUUUACAAUUUCAAUCAAAAUAAAUUAUAUGCUUUUGACAACUCUCACAUAGACUAGGCUCUAUUUGUGGGCAUUCAUGUGCUCUUGAUGACCCAGUAACAAGCCCAACAAUGUAAGCCUAACUAUGGCAAUUGUCAUUCUUGGCAGCACUAGGCACUAGGUAAGGGCAGUCUGGAAAUACACUAAGAUUUUGUGGUAUAUCAAAUGACAACUAUUUGUAAAAGUUGUAGACCUAAAGACAAUUCGCAUACCAAAUUCGAUCACUUUAAUUCUUAGUCAUAAUCCUUUGCUAUAAGGAAUAUAUCAUAUUGUUUGAUAUAUUGAUAUAUUGUUUCAGUUUGAUUUCUUUAAAUUCUACUUUUAGACUGACAAUUUCUAGUCGUUUUUUUCAUCUACUGAUAAUCACAACGACUCUGUACAUGGCUAUCCUUGUCAUUCUCUCUCUUUCUCCCUCUCUCAUGGAAUGUAAAGUUAAAGUGAGGAUGCUAACUAAAAAUAGCUAAGACGAAAACUCAAUUGGAUAAUGUUUUGAUAACAAGUCUAUCAGAGUGCUAUUCCCUAUACACUUUCUAUAUAUUACUUAGUUUUCGAGUUUAGAGAAUAGUUUUUUUUUUUUUUAAUCUGUAGUUAGUUUUUAUACAAUUUAGCUUAUUUUAAGUUACACAGCGUUAAGCUUAUAAGGAAUGUUCAGCAUAGAUAUUGCUAAUCCCCAUGUUAUAUGCUCGCUGUUUCCCUUAAACCCUAUUAGAAAUGCUCAGAGUAAAUAAAUACAUUCAAAGCCGUA
Long non-coding RNA from Drosophila mojavensis, 4106 nucleotides. RefSeq lists it as uncharacterized. The transcript has 2 exons. NCBI's taxonomy places the organism in Eukaryota, Metazoa, Arthropoda, Insecta, Diptera, Drosophilidae. The record is from RefSeq and is a predicted model, not a curated record.